This 496-nucleotide ribosomal RNA is filed under the name uncultured bacterium. RNAcentral describes it as "partial 16S ribosomal RNA". It matches the Rfam family "Bacterial small subunit ribosomal RNA", at positions 29 to 507 of the family's 1533-position model. The record is from RNAcentral.
AUGAACGCUGGCGGCGUGCCUAAUCCCUGCCAGUCGAGCGCACGGACGAGAAGCUUGCUUCUCUGAUGUUAGCGGCGGACGGGUGAGUAACACGUGGAUAACCUACCUAUAAGACUGGGAUAACUUCGGGAAACCGGAGCUAAUACCGGAUAAUAUUUUGAACCGCAUGGUUCAAAAGUGAAAGACGGUCUUGCUGUCACUUAUAGAUGGAUCCGCGCUGCAUUAGCUAGUUGGUAAGGUAACGGCUUACCAAGGCAACAAUGCAUAGCCGACCUGAGAGGGUGAUCGGCCACACUGGAACUGAGACACGGUCCAGACUCCUACGGGAGGCAGCAGUAGGGAAUCUUCCGCAAUGGGCGAAAGCCUGACGGAGCAACGCCGCGUGAGUGAUGAAGGUCUUCGGAUCGUAAAACUCUGUUAUUAGGGAAGAACAUAUGUGUAAGUAACUGUGCACAUCUUGACGGUACCUAAUCAGAAAGCCACGGCUAACUACGUG